CCGUCUUGCCCUGUCUGGCGCCCUGUCUGCGCACGCGGUCAGUGACGGGUGCGCCCGAAAGCGCAAGAGAGA
RNAcentral lists this small nucleolar RNA (72 nucleotides) under Trypanosoma rangeli. RNAcentral describes it as "Trypanosomatid snoRNA TB11Cs4H1". It matches the Rfam family "Trypanosomatid snoRNA TB11Cs4H1". The record is from Rfam by way of RNAcentral. Lineage: Eukaryota; Euglenozoa; Kinetoplastea; Trypanosomatida; Trypanosomatidae.